Molecule: ribosomal RNA, 289 nt
Filed under: uncultured bacterium
Lineage: Bacteria
Description: partial 16S ribosomal RNA
Rfam family: Bacterial small subunit ribosomal RNA
Source: RNAcentral
AACGAACGCUGGCGGCAGGCCUAACACAUGCAAGUCGAGCGCCCAGCAAUGGGAGCGGCGGACGGGUGAGUAACACGUGGGAAUAUGCCUUUCGGUUCGGCACAACUCAGGGAAACUUGAGCUAAUACCGAAUACGUCCGUAAGGAGAAAGAUUUAUCGCUGAAGGAUCGGCCCGCGUCUGAUUAGCUAGUUGGUGAGGUAAUGGCUCACCAAGGCGACGAUCAGAGCUGGUCUGAGAGGUUGGCCGGCCACAUUGGGACUGAGACACUGCCCAGACUCCGUACGGGGG